This 637-nucleotide ribosomal RNA is filed under the name uncultured bacterium. RNAcentral describes it as "bacterial SSU rRNA". It matches the Rfam family "Bacterial small subunit ribosomal RNA", at positions 202 to 842 of the family's 1533-position model. The record is from RNAcentral.
UAAAGAUUCAUCGCUGAUAGAUAGGCAUGCGUUCCAUUAGGCAGUUGGCGGGGUAACGGCCCACCAAACCGACGAUGGAUAGGGGUUCUGAGAGGAAGGUCCCCCACAUUGGUACUGAGACACGGACCAAACUCCUACGGGAGGCAGCAGUGAGGAAUAUUGGUCAAUGGGCGUAAGCCUGAACCAGCCAAGUCGCGUGAGGGAUGAAGGUUCUAUGGAUCGUAAACCUCUUUUAUAAGGGAAUAAAGUGUGGGACGUGUCCUGUUUUGUAUGUACCUCAUGAAUAAGGAUCGGCUAACUCCGUGCCAGCAGCCGCGGUAAUACGGAGGAUCCGAGCGUUAUCCGGAUUUAUUGGGUUUAAAGGGUGCGUAGGCGGCCUUUUAAGUCAGCGGUGAAAGUCUGUGGCUCAACCAUAGAAUUGCCGUUGAAACUGGGAGGCUUGAGUAUGUUUGAGGCAGGCGGAAUGCGUGGUGUAGCGGUGAAAUGCUUAGAUAUCACGCAGAACCCCGAUUGCGAAGGCAGCCUGCCAAGCCAUGACUGACGCUGAUGCACGAAAGCGUGGGGAUCAAACAGGAUUAGAUACCCUGGUAGUCCACGCAGUAAACGAUGAUCACUAGCUGUUUGCGAUACAGUGUAA